This 576-nucleotide ribosomal RNA is filed under the name uncultured eukaryote. Its description in RNAcentral is "SSU rRNA". It matches the Rfam family "Eukaryotic small subunit ribosomal RNA", at positions 203 to 796 of the family's 1831-position model. The record is from RNAcentral.
UCGUUAGACACAGAACCGACACAGGCCACGCCUGGUGCGAGGGUGAAUCAUAACGGUCUGGUAAAUCGCAAGGCUUCUGCCGGCGAUGGACUGCGCAAGUUUCUGACCUAUCAGCUUCCGACGCUAGGGUAUUGGCCUACCGUGGCAAUGACGGGUGACGGAGAAUUAGGGUUUGAUUCCGGAGAGGGAGCCUGACAAAUGGCUACCACAUCUAAGGAAGGCAGCAGGCGCGCAAAUUACCCAAUUCUGACACAGGGAGGUAGUGACAAGAAAUAACAAUAUGGGGCUUAUGUCUUGUAAUUGGAAUGAGCCAGUUCUAAACCAAUUUGUGAGUAUCAAUUGGAGGGCAAGUCUGGUGCCAGCAGCCGCGGUAAUUCCAGCUCCAAUAGCGUAUAUUAAAGCUGUUGCGGUUAAAAAGCUCGUAGUUGGAUCUCUGUCGAGGACAACCGGUCUGCCCUCUGGGUGUGUGUCUGGUUUGGCCUCGGCAUCUUGUCAGGGCACCGUAGACAUUCCUGUUGCGGGACCCUGCGCCUUUACUUUGAGGAAAUUGGAGUGUUUCAAGCAGGCACAUGCCUU